GGGGCUGUCGGCUAGCUUGGUCUAGGCUUGGAGACUUGGGCUCUCUAAGUGCUGUGGUGUUUGCCACGUGCGGGAAGGACCCCGGUUCAAAUCCGGGCAGCCCCACCA
RNAcentral lists this transfer RNA (108 nucleotides) under Candidatus Bathyarchaeota archaeon. RNAcentral describes it as "tRNA-Pro". The record is from RNAcentral. Lineage: Archaea; Thermoproteati; Candidatus Bathyarchaeota.